This 497-nucleotide ribosomal RNA is filed under the name uncultured bacterium. RNAcentral's name for it is "partial 16S ribosomal RNA". It matches the Rfam family "Bacterial small subunit ribosomal RNA", at positions 28 to 507 of the family's 1533-position model. The record is from RNAcentral.
GAUGAACGCUGGCGGCGUGCCUAAUACAUGCAAGUCGAGCGAACGGACGAGAAGCCUGCUUCUCUGAUGUUAGCGGCGGACGGGUGAGUAACACGUGGAUAACCUACCUAUAAGACUGGGAUAACUUCGGGAAACCGGAGCUAAUACCGGAUAAUAUUUUGAACCGCAUGGUUCAAAAGUGAAAGACGGUCUUGCUGUCACUUAUAGAUGGAUCCGCGCUGCAUUAGCUAGUUGGUGAGGUAACGGCUUACCAAGGCAACGAUGCAUAGCCGACCUGAGAGGGUGAUCGGCCACACUGGAACUGAGACACGGUCCAGACUCCUACGGGAGGCAGCAGUAGGGAAUCUUCCGCAAUGGGCGAAAGCCUGACGGAGCAACGCCGCGUGAGUGAUGAAGGUCUUCGGAUCGUAAAACUCUGUUAUUAGGGAAGAACAUAUGUGUAAGUAACUGUGCACAUCUUGACGGUACCUAAUCAGAAAGCCACGGCUAACUACGUG